ACGUAGGUGGCGAGCGUUAUCCGGAAUGAUUGGGCGUAAAGGGUGCGCAGGCGGAAUAACAAGUCUGAAGUAAAAGGCAUUGGCUUAACCAAUGUAUGCUAUGGAAACUGUUAAGCUAGAGUGCAGGAGAGGGCAGUGGAAUUCCAUGUGUAGCGGUAAAAUGCGUAGAUAUAUGGAGGAACACCGGUGGCGAAGGCGGCUGCCUGGCCUGUAACUGACGCUGAGGCACGAAAGCGUGGGGAGCAA
RNAcentral lists this ribosomal RNA (246 nucleotides) under uncultured bacterium. Its description in RNAcentral is "partial 16S ribosomal RNA". It matches the Rfam family "Bacterial small subunit ribosomal RNA", at positions 525 to 771 of the family's 1533-position model. The record is from RNAcentral.